GAUCUCUCGAUCCAAUUGUGUUAUCGUCUGUUCCUGUUCCGAUAAUUAACCAUCAGGAGGAGGUCAUAUACAGCCGUCGCCUAGGUAACCAACACCGAGUACAAAAUGUUCUACACGAACUAGGUAAAUGUAGUUGACAAGGCGAGUCCUAUCGGAUGUUGUUAUCCGAUCAAGACCGUCCACGACUCGAUUCUGGUAGACGUUAACAUUCGUUCGGUGCUCAACUAUAGCCACCGUCACUGUACUCUCAGGAGAUAUGGGACUAUAACCACCUAGGUCUGCGGGGUUCGGGUUCAGUGGGUAGUGAUUCCCUCAUGAACGUGACCUACCACAGGCUGUAGGGACCUUGUUGAUCACCGUCGAAGCCAUACUACAGUACGUAUUGUUAAACAAGUUACAAUAAAAACCAAAAUCGACUUAAAACGUCUACGUAUUUAGUCCAGUACAAUUCAAGAAAGGGAGUUUGCUGAGCUAUGUUCGAUUAAGGUUAUAUCAGGUAGUAAUUGUGGUUCUAUAGAAUUUGGUACUGUUUCUUAUUUAGAUUUGUCCCAUUUUACUGUAAACAUACAUGUCGGAUUUCUUCUUUCUUGAGAAUUUCGUCACACAUGAAUUCUUAAAGGAAAAAGAUAGAUGAUAAAUAUGAACUAAAUAAAACGUAUACAUGUUUGUGUUUUAAGUACGUUAGUUAAUUAUAGUAAGUUAGAAUAUGACCAAAACUUCUCAAAAUACCAUGUGAGGGAUAUGUAUAUGUCGUCUAAUAUAAUCUUCUGAGGAAAAACGGAUCUUGACUUGUUUCAUCUGGUGUAGCGUCUAUUUACUGAUUUACAAAGGUGGUUCAACUUAAUGAGAAAUUUAAGAUUUGAUUAAUUAUGAUCCCACGAGAGCGUCCGGUUCUCGAACAUCAAAUACUUUCUGGUCUUGGGUCUAGACCAUAAGUGGCCUACCAUAAACACGACAAGGUCGUUGAUCCGUCCCCUUGUCAAAAACGUGGUCUACACGCUGUGUUAAAGUCGACGUCUUUGAAACGUGCCGUCAUGGUGGAGUUGUAACACCGACGGAGUAUAAAGUUGACAGUUUCCCUUCCACCUAGACCGCCUUCUUCCAAAUCCGGUCUUUCAAGAGUUCCCCUCAUCUCUAAUCUAUCAUGUCUCAUUUCUGGUAAUAUACGACAUGACAUCACAACAUGGUGUUUAUUACACGUCAUAUAUCUUACAGAACAUAGUAGAUUUAUACGUCGUAAUAUACAUAGAAGUCGAUACUAUUCGAACUACCUUAUAUAGAGUUAGUAAUCAAUU
Molecule: ribosomal RNA, 1295 nt
Filed under: Triticum aestivum (bread wheat)
Lineage: Eukaryota; Viridiplantae; Streptophyta; Magnoliopsida; Poales; Poaceae
Description: partial small subunit ribosomal RNA
Source: RNAcentral